AGAGUUUGAUCAUGGCUCAGGAUGAACGCUGGCGGCGUGCCUAACCCAUGUAAGUCGAACGCUCCUGCAGCAAUGUGGGAGAGUGGCGGAAGGGUGAGUAACACGUGGGCGACCUACCUCAUCGCAGGGAACAACCGCGCGAAAGCGCGACUAAUACCCAAAAGGCUCGGUGCUUCGGUGUGCCGAGGAGAGUGUCGAAAGAUGCGUGAUGAGCGGGGCCUGCGGCCCAUCAGCUAGUUGGUAGGGUAGUGGCCUACCAAGGCGACGACGGGUAGGGGGUCUGAGAGGACGAUCCCCCACACUGGAACUGAAACACGGUCCAGACGCCUACGGGUGGCAGCAGGGAGGAAUAUUGCACAAUGGGCGCAAGCCCGAUGCAGCAACGCCGCGUGGAGGAUGAAGGCCUUCGGGUCGUAAACUCCUUUUGAGGGAGACGAGCAAGGACGGUAUCCCUCGAAUAAGCCACGGCUAACUACGUGCCAGCAGCCGCGGUAAAACGUAGGUGGCGAGCGUUAUCCGGAUUCAUUGGGCGUAAAGCGCCUGUAGGUGGCUUGGUAAGUUGGACGUGAAAUCUCCCGGCUUAACCGGGAGGGGUCGUUCAAUACUGCCGGGCUGGAGGAUGUCAGAGGGCAGCGGAAUUCCUGGUGUAGCAGUGAAAUGCGUAGAUAUCAGGAGGAACACCCGUGGCGAAGGCGGCUGCCUGGGGCAUAACUGACACUGAGAAGCGAAAGCUAGGGGAGCAAACGGGAUUAGAAACCCCGGUAGUCCUAGCCGUAAACGAUGGACGCUAGGUGUCGGCAGAUCUAACCCUGCCAGUGCCGAAGCCAACGCGUUAAGCGUCCCGCCU
RNAcentral lists this ribosomal RNA (847 nucleotides) under uncultured bacterium. RNAcentral describes it as "bacterial SSU rRNA". It matches the Rfam family "Bacterial small subunit ribosomal RNA", at positions 9 to 873 of the family's 1533-position model. The record is from RNAcentral.